AAAGCUGUAUAUUCUAGUUGUAGGUCUUUCUAGUUGUGUUAUGUGGGAUGCUGCCUCAACACGACUUGAUGAGCAGUGCCAUGUCUGCACCCAGGAACGAACCAGCGAAACCCUGGGCCGCCGAAGCAAAGCCCGCAAACUUAAUCACUCAUCCAGGGGGCUGGCGCCACAUUUGUGCAUUGUUAACCAAGAAUCUGAUUUAACCAUUCACCGUUGGUGUGAUACAUUCCAAGGUUACUCCUUCAAGGCAACUGCAACAUCCCAAAGGACCUGAUAAUGACCUCCUUAAAAUACAACCAUCAAAGAAGAUAGUGCGCCUAUUUCCCAGCUUCUGUGGGCAGAACCUCCUCUCAAUUGUCAGUAAAUGAAUCCUCCAUUUUCACAUGGUUCAAAAAUUGUGUGGGGAAUUGAGGAAAUGGAAAAAGACAGGGCAGAGGAGAGAGAAGACGAAAAAGCCAAAAACAGCUGGAAGCUGGCUGGGUCAAGAAAAGGAAUUUAAAGAACAGAAUUACCUUUCAUGAAAUUUUUAGUUAUUGGUUGAGCAGCACACAACGUGACCCUUCUCAAACACCCCUGUAUUUUGAGUAGUGUCUGUUAGAGACAAAUGUGCUUCAGGAGUUGACAGCUGACACAUGAUGCAAGUUGGACUAAUCAGAGGGAAGCAGAGAAUUUGUUGAUGAUUAUGGGAAGAAAGGUGAACGAGGAAGCAGGUAGCCCAGGCGACUGUUGGGACCCAUCCUAAAACUCUGAUGAGAGCCACCAUACUGAAAGUUAGAGCUGGAAAUCUGGACAGACAAGUCCUGCUGGCAUUUUAAGCCUCUGAGCAGCCCGUCACCUAAGCCCUCUCGUACAUGAGCAGAAAAAUGUCCCUUUGUGAUUUAAGUCAGCUUGAGCUGAGUUUUCUCUUGUUUGCAAUUGAAAGUAUCCUAAUUUAUACAAGGACCUUAAUACAUACCAACUGGUUAACGUCUGGUUCCAAAGAGUUCACCCAUCCACUCAAAGGGCAGAUAACGUUUCCUUUCUAGAGUCUUUUGAAGCAAGACACACCCUCAACAUAGCAGAUCCUACAAAAACAUAAUUGAAUUGUGUUGCCCUUUGACAACUUUAGUAGAAUUCUGAAAGAUAAAGAAACAUCAUUCAACUAGGGAUUUCUGCGAGGCAUUCAUAAGAACAGGAGUGUUACAGCUGCUUCGGAGAAGCCGCAGUGGUCUUGGCUUGAGGCUACAACAUGACAGAUGUGUGUUGGCUGCCUAUCACCUAAGAUCUCAUUGACAGCUAGUGGUGGCCUCCAAUGCCUCUGACUUCCCUCCUGCAUUCAUAUGAAUUAAUGAAGUGUCAGGCCCAAAAUGUAAAUACUGAAGUUUUGAAACCCAGAUUUAAGUCACCAGAGAGGCUGCUCCUUUAUCAUCUUCACGGGAGUUCACUGGCAAAUGACAGCAUUUUUGUGGCAACAGAAGUAAACUCCUUUAUAACACAAGCCAGCUUACUUCUCGUGAUGGCUAGGACCUCUCACCAAAUUCACCCAUGACGAUUGCUUUGCCUACUGGAUUCUGAAAGUGCCCAAUAUUUGAGUCCUACAGCCUUACCCUGUGUGUUAUACAUAGAA
Long non-coding RNA from Equus caballus (horse), 1606 nucleotides. The record is from Ensembl. NCBI's taxonomy places the organism in Eukaryota, Metazoa, Chordata, Mammalia, Perissodactyla, Equidae.